GACGAACGCUGGCGGCGUGCCUAAUACAUGCAAGUCGAACGAGAGCGACCGGUGCUUGCACUGGUCAAUCUAGUGGCGAACGGGUGAGUAACACGUGGGUAACCUGCCCAUCAGAGGGGGAUAACAUUCGGAAACGGAUGCUAAAACCGCAUAGGUCUUCGAACCGCAUGGUUCGAAGAGGAAAAGAGGCGCAAGCUUCUGCUGUGGGAUGGACCCGCGGUGCAUUAGCUAGUUGGUGAGGUAACGGCUCACCAAGGCCGUGAUGCAUAGCCGACCUGAGAGGGUGAUUGGCCAGAUUGGGACUGAGACACGGCCCAAACUCCUACGGGAGGCAGCAGUAGGGAAUCUUCCGCAAUGGACGAAAGUCUGACGGAGCAACGCCGCGUGAGUGAAGAAGGUUUUCGGAUCGUAAAACUAUGUUGUUAGAGAAGAAUAAGUGCUAGAGUAACUGUUAGCGCCUUGACGGUAUCUAACCAGAAAGCCACGGCUAACUACGUG
RNAcentral lists this ribosomal RNA (498 nucleotides) under uncultured bacterium. RNAcentral's name for it is "partial 16S ribosomal RNA". It matches the Rfam family "Bacterial small subunit ribosomal RNA", at positions 28 to 507 of the family's 1533-position model. The record is from RNAcentral.